RNAcentral lists this transfer RNA (72 nucleotides) under Hoeflea marina. It matches the Rfam family "tRNA". From Rfam's summary of the family: Transfer RNA (tRNA) molecules are approximately 80 nucleotides in length. Their secondary structure includes four short double-helical elements and three loops (D, anti-codon, and T loops). The record is from Rfam by way of RNAcentral. Lineage: Bacteria; Pseudomonadati; Pseudomonadota; Alphaproteobacteria; Hyphomicrobiales; Rhizobiaceae.
GCGGGUGUAGUUCAGUGGUAGAACGCAAGCUUCCCAUGCUUGAUGUCGUCGGUUCGAACCCGAUCACCCGCU